AUUGAACGCUGGCGGGAGGCUUUACACAUGCAAGUCGAACGAGUGGCGGACGGGUGAGUAAUAUAUGGGAACCUGCCCGAUGGCGGGGGAUAACUACUGGAAACGGUGGCUAAUACCGCAUACUAUUGGAGCUGCCCAUAUCGGAUUAGCUAGUUGGUGGGGUAAAGGCUCACCAAGGCGACGAUCCGUAGCUGGUCUGAGAGGACGACCAGCCACACUGGGACUGAGACACGGCCCAGACUCCUACGGGAGGCAGCAGUGGGGAAUAUUGGACAAUGGGGGCAAGCCUGAUGCAGCCAUGCCGCGUGUAUGAGAAGGCCUUCGGGUUGUAAAGUACUUUUGGCAGGGAAGCGGUACCUGCAGAAGAAGCACCGGCUAACUACGUGCCAGCAGCCGCGGUAAUUC
Molecule: ribosomal RNA, 405 nt
Filed under: uncultured bacterium
Lineage: Bacteria
Description: partial 16S ribosomal RNA
Rfam family: Bacterial small subunit ribosomal RNA
Source: RNAcentral